This 439-nucleotide ribosomal RNA is filed under the name uncultured bacterium. Its description in RNAcentral is "partial 16S ribosomal RNA". It matches the Rfam family "Bacterial small subunit ribosomal RNA", at positions 339 to 795 of the family's 1533-position model. The record is from RNAcentral.
CUACGGGCUGCUCCAGUGGGGAAUAUUGUACAAUGGGGGAAACCCUGAUGCAGCGACGCCGCGUGAAGGAUGACGGAUUUCGGUCUGUAAACUUCUAUCAGCAGGGAAGAUAGUGACUGUACCUGACUAAGAAGCCCCGGCUAACUACGUGCCAGCAGCCGCGGUAAUACGUAGGGGGCAAGCGUUAUCCGGAAUUACUGGGUGUAAAGGGUGCGUAGGCGGCGACUUAAGUUAGAUGUGAAAGCCCGGGGCUCAACCUCGGGACUGCAUUUAAAACUGGGUUGCUAGAAUACAGGAGAGGUAAGUGGAAUUCCUAGUGUAGCGGUGAUAUGCGUAGAUAUUAGGAGGAACACCAGUGGCGAAGGCGACUUACUGGACUGUUAUUGACGCUGAGGCACGAAAGCGUGGGGAGCGAACAGGAUUAGAUACCCCAGUAGUC